RNAcentral lists this microRNA precursor (88 nucleotides) under Zootermopsis nevadensis. Its description in RNAcentral is "microRNA mir-190". The stretch from base 6 to 83 matches the Rfam family "mir-190 microRNA precursor family". The record is from RNAcentral. Lineage: Eukaryota; Metazoa; Arthropoda; Insecta; Blattodea; Termopsidae.
UUCUGGCCCCUGUGAGAUAUGUUUGAUAUUCUUGGUUGUUUAUGUAAAUAUCACCCAGGAAUCAAACAUAUUAUUACAGUGACCAGUA